CCUACGGGCGGCAGCAGUGGGGAAUAUUGGGCAAUGGGCGCAAGCCUGACCCAGCAACGCCGCGUGAAGGAAGAAGGCCUUAGGGUUGUAAACUUCCUUUGACAGGGAAGAGCAGAAGACGGUACCUGUCGAAUAAGCCACGGCUAACUACGUGCCAGCAGCCGCGGUAAUACGUAGGUGGCAAGCGUUGUCCGGAGUUACUGGGUUUAAAGGGCGUGUAGCCGGGCUGACAAGUCAGAUGUGAAAUACGGGGGCUCAACCCCCGAACUGCAGUUGAAACUGUUGGUCGUGAGUAUCGGAGAGGCAGGCGGAAUGCCUGGUGUAGCGGUGAAAUGCGUAGAUAUUAGGAGGAACACCAGUGGCGAAGGCGGCCUGCUGGACGACAACUGACGGUGAGGCGCGAAAGCGUGGGGAGCAAACAGGAUUAGAUACCCGAGUAGUC
This 442-nucleotide ribosomal RNA is filed under the name uncultured bacterium. RNAcentral's name for it is "partial 16S ribosomal RNA". It matches the Rfam family "Bacterial small subunit ribosomal RNA", at positions 338 to 795 of the family's 1533-position model. The record is from RNAcentral.